RNAcentral lists this ribosomal RNA (398 nucleotides) under uncultured bacterium. Its description in RNAcentral is "bacterial SSU rRNA". It matches the Rfam family "Bacterial small subunit ribosomal RNA", at positions 28 to 420 of the family's 1533-position model. The record is from RNAcentral.
GACGAACGCUGGCGGCGUGCUUAACACAUGCAAGUGGAGCGACGAACCAGAGCUUGCUCUGGGGCAAAGCCGCGAACGGGUGAGUAACACGUGGGUAAUCUGCCCUGUUGAUUGGGACAACCCCGGGAAACCGGGGCUAAUACCAAAUGUGCUCGUGUCACAUCAGUGAUAUGAGGAAAGGAGGCUUCGGCUUCCGCAACGGGAUGAGCCCGCGGCCCAUUAGCUUGUUGGUGGGGAAUGGCCCACCAAGGCUUCGAUGGGUAGCUGGUCUGAGAGGACGAUCAGCCACACUGGGACUGAGACACGGCCCAGACUCCUACGGGAGGCAGCAGUGGGGAAUCUUGCGCAAUGCGCGAAAGCGUGACGCAGCAACGCCGCGUGAGGGAAGACGGCCUCGG